AUAUAUACUGGCCUCUAUCCAGGUCAACGUGUCUAACCUGCAAGAGAGCUAAUCUCCUAUAUGGUCUUAGCUACCGGGAUCUAUACCCUGCAACUGUCAUCAGCUGGGCAUGAAGAACAGCAGGCGGCCAGCUAUAUUUAUUUCAGCUUAAUUCUCAAAGGGUAUAUAUACUUUGGUGAAGAUCGAUCGGUGCAUGGUUGAUUAGAGAGCCAACUGAAUGGGAUUUCGCUCAGUUUGAUCCUCAUCACAGUAGGUGCUUAAUUGUUUGUUUUUCAUGGGAUGAAGGAGGGAGUAUGAAAAGCUGGCUUGCUUAAUUGUGCACCAUGCAGAUCAAGAGCAGGGAAUGCAAGAAAAUGCAGCAUAUGGUAUGUAAAAUGCACGAUGCUGGGGCAGAUAUACUUUGGGGGUGGCGGGGGCUCAAGCCUCUACUGUUAGUACCAGGACUAUGAGAGUUCUACGAAACCUCCACUAAAUUUUUUAUUUUGCCAUACGUAUAUGAGAAGAGGGUUAUAGUUUUAUUUAAUUAGUUUGUUCAGAUUCCUUGUUAUUUUUUCAUGGAUCUACCACCGUGUUUAUGAAUAAAUUUUGGUACUCCUACCUAUUAUGGCCAGAUCAGACCAUGCAUAUAAUUAAUCAGUAAUUGUUGCUGUGGAUUUUGGAUCGGAUGAGUGUGUUAAAUCGGCUGUACUGUACGUUGCUGUUGUUACUGCUGAUACACGGAACCUGCAAAUGAGCAUAGGAAAAGAUUGUUUGCC
Oryza sativa Japonica Group (Japanese rice) is the source of this 755-nucleotide long non-coding RNA. RefSeq lists it as uncharacterized. NCBI's taxonomy places the organism in Eukaryota, Viridiplantae, Streptophyta, Magnoliopsida, Poales, Poaceae. The record is from RefSeq and is a predicted model, not a curated record.